GGCCUCACUCUCUGCAGGCGCAGGUCCCGCGCAGCGCGGUUGAAAACGUCACGUGGGCGCACGCGCCGCCAGUCAUAGAGGCGGGAGCGGCAGGGUAGAGCGGCAUUGUGCUGGCGCGCUCCCUGAGCCGCCAUCUCGGUUGUGGGCAGGAGCUGUGGGGCUGGCUGUUUUGAGUUUUCACUGUCUUUGGGUUCCGCUUCUGUUUUUGCUGCAGUUAUCUGUCUAUUGGCUGAAAUUCAUCAGCUAUGCUGCGUUGCUUUUCCUCUGCUCUGCGACUUUUAUUUAGUGAGAUGGUCAUAAAAUCCCCUAAACAGGCAUCAGAUGUCUAGGUCCAGUUUUCUCUUGUGUGGCCUUGCUGUGUGAGGGCAUGCUGAGAACGUGGCUGCUUCUGGGGCAGGAGCGCGCUGGGAACUGGAUGGCAGCACAGGGGAGUGGAAGGGCAAUUUUUAAGGAAAAUGAAGUAGUGUGUGUAAAUCCCCUAGAGAGUAAUGUUUUUUAAGGUGAACAUAAACAGCUGCAGUGCUCUUGCCUGAACUAACCUCCCUAGAACAGAACUUCCUGAACUAAUGCAUGACACAUUGAGGCAUUGCUGUUUUCCACGAUAACAAAUAAGAAUUGGAUCCUGAAGCCCUCUGGUGGAUGUGCUGCAGAAGGCAGACAUCUGAGAAGUGGUCUUGCCGAAUGGUGCCCGCUGCUUCCAAUCCAGGACACCAGUUCACCGCUGACCUGGGCUCUGGCACCAAGCACUGCUUUGCUGAUUCUGCUGAAUGCAACAGGGCUUCUCUUCGGAGGACUGCAAAGCAGUGAGCCUGCUAGUCUCACUUGUGAGAGCUGCCAGGAGCACAACACAAAGUACUUCAAACCAUGCAGCUUGGCUUGUGGGUGCUUAAACAGGGGGAGUGAAAUCCUGCACCCUCUGUUUCCCCAGAAAGGUAGUGGCCUGAUGCCACCAACUUGAAAGGGUGUGAGUUUUUGCCCUGUUUUUGCCGAGGUCACCGGGGGAGUGGUGGUCCUUGUUUCUGGGAAUUUGUGAUAGAUUUUAGUUUCCUAUAAAAAAAAAGCUGACUGGAUUGGAGGCUGAAUACUUAAAUCUGCAGUAGAAAUCUUUGCCCUGAAAAACAUGUAGACCAGAUUGUAUGAAGCCAUGGCAGACUAUUUGCAUCUACUCCUUGGUAUCCUCUAAAACUGUAACUCGCUGCGUCAUCAUUCUUGCACUGCAGCACAGACACACAGAGCUGAAGUUGAAGAGCUAUCAGUUUGCAAUUCCAAAUGCUUGGGAAUUCCUGAUUUAAAUACAGGCAAAGUAAGUAUUGUUAAAUGUGCUUUACAAAGUGCAUAAAUGUCUGAGUUAGAUGACAAUUCCUGGCUGAUUUUUCUGCGCCCCAGUGCCUCAAACAUGAACUCAUGCACUCGCUAAAACUUCAAUUGAUAAGCUCUUCAGAGGCACAUCUCCUUUGUGAACGGACCUGAUGACAAUUUAUGAAAAGGAAUGUUUCCUUACAGUACUGAAAGAAAAGCAGUAAGAGAAGCUGGAAGUUGACACCAUAGCAACUGCUCUAGGUGACUGUUCUGGGCAUCUUGCUAGCAAGGAGCAAGCAUGCUUUUUCUGUUGCUCCUUGUGCCACAGCUGAGGUUAUGGUGCCUUUCUUCUCUGUUCUGCUCAAAUCCACCUAACCUGAGGAAGCCACUGUGGUUUGCAGUUCAGUUACCGUUAUGAAGUAAAUAUGCUGGAUGCAGCCUGCGUGCUCAGGAUGACAAAAUGGUAGUUGCUUGAUUCAAGUUCUCCUGAAGCAGGGCCAUGAAGGAAAGUUUGUCCUUCUGCUUUUAUUUUGUGGUCUUUUUAAAGGACAGAGGAGGAUCAGGACUUGGGAUAAAGGCCUAGGAAUGAUUUCAGCAUUCAGAACUCCAACCUGACCUUAAAUCCACAUGGAGAACGGUUGCCAGACACUUUGUGGUGCAAGUCUGGGCUCCGUGUUCCAACUGACAGAGCAGCAGUUUAGGAAUAAACACUCUGUUUGCCGUACUUAUGCCA
RNAcentral lists this long non-coding RNA (2032 nucleotides) under Numida meleagris (helmeted guineafowl). Its description in RNAcentral is "lncRNA (ENSNMEG00000002801.1)". Lineage: Eukaryota; Metazoa; Chordata; Aves; Galliformes; Numididae. The record is from RNAcentral.